CUUGUUGAGAACAGCAAAGCUUGACUCACAUGUUCUGUUUCAAUAGGCUCUUGUGGUUCCACUCUCCCAAUGCUGUAUUUGCAGCUGAAACUCCAUUCUCUUCUUUCAUCACUACUGUUAUGACUUGGAAAUGGCUCUCUUGGACUAUAAUCUAGACCUUAAUCUAAGAACCCAAAGCUCUUAUGCCUCCACAUACCUCUAAAGGAUCUGUGAGUUUCCUUGUUUAUCGUGUUCUUCAAAUUCAUCAUGUGAAGCCCUCAGAUUGUAACUGCAUUUGGAACUGGGACCUUCAAAGAGAUGAUUAAGUAAAAAUUGAGUUCACCAGAGUUAUCCCUAAUCCAGUAACUGAUAUACUUAAGGGAAGAGGAGCUCAGGACACAGCCAACACACAAGGAUGACCAUGUGAGCACAUGGGAAGGAUGUCAUCUAGAAGCCUGAGAGAAGCCUGAGGAGGAACCCACCUGCUUACACCUUGAUCUUGGCCUUCUUCAACCAGGAUAUGUCAACAUCAGCCAUCACAGCAGCUAAGGAGAGAGCAGCCUGAGGAGGAAUCUACUGCAUCUUAAUCUUGGCCUUCAGAAACCAGGAUAUGAUGAAUAAGUUUCUGUUAUUCAAUCCAUCCGGCCUGUGGUACCGCAUUCUGCCACGCUCAGCAGAGGAACAUACUAACCUUCAGGGCAUACCUGAUAGGAGGAUGAGAAGCCAACUGGAUCCUGGAAGCUCAUCACACUUGGGGGAACCAAAGCUUGCUGGUUUAAUCAUCAUUUACUGAGUAUC
Molecule: long non-coding RNA, 777 nt
Organism: Peromyscus leucopus (white-footed mouse)
Lineage: Eukaryota; Metazoa; Chordata; Mammalia; Rodentia; Cricetidae
Exons: 2
Source: RefSeq, a predicted model, not a curated record